UACGUAGGUGGCAAGCGUUGUCCGGAUUUAUUGGGCGUAAAGAGCUCGUAGGCGGUCUGUCGCGUCUGCUGUGAAAACUCAGGGCUUAACCCUGAGCUUGCAGUGGGUACGGGCAGACUAGAGUGCGGUAGGGGAGACUGGAAUUCCUGGUGUAGCGGUGAAAUGCGCAGAUAUCAGGAGGAACACCGGUGGCGAAGGCGGGUCUCUGGGCCGUAACUGACGCUGAGGAGCGAAAGCAUGGGGAGCGAACAGG
RNAcentral lists this ribosomal RNA (253 nucleotides) under uncultured bacterium. RNAcentral's name for it is "partial 16S ribosomal RNA". It matches the Rfam family "Bacterial small subunit ribosomal RNA", at positions 524 to 776 of the family's 1533-position model. The record is from RNAcentral.